Molecule: ribosomal RNA, 500 nt
Filed under: uncultured bacterium
Lineage: Bacteria
Description: partial 16S ribosomal RNA
Rfam family: Bacterial small subunit ribosomal RNA
Source: RNAcentral
AUUGAACGCUGGCGGCAUGCCUUACACAUGCAAGUCGAACGGCAGCACGGGAGCAAUCCUGGUGGCGAGUGGCGAACGGGUGAGUAAUAUAUCGGAACGUGCCCAGUCGUGGGGGAUAACGUAGCGAAAGCUACGCUAAUACCGCAUACGAUCUAUGGAUGAAAGCGGGGGAUCGCAAGACCUCGCGCGAUUGGAGCGGCCGAUAUCAGAUUAGGUAGUUGGUGGGGUAAAGGCUCACCAAGCCGACGAUCUGUAGCUGGUCUGAGAGGACGACCAGCCACACUGGGACUGAGACACGGCCCAGACUCCUACGGGAGGCAGCAGUGGGGAAUUUUGGACAAUGGGCGCAAGCCUGAUCCAGCAAUGCCGCGUGCAGGAUGAAGGCCUUCGGGUUGUAAACUGCUUUUGUACGGAACGAAACGGCGAGCUCUAAUACAGUUCGCUAAUGACGGUACCGUAAGAAUAAGCACCGGCUAACUACGUGCCAGCAGCCGCCGCAG